This 376-nucleotide ribosomal RNA is filed under the name Enterococcus faecium. RNAcentral describes it as "bacterial LSU rRNA". It matches the Rfam family "Bacterial large subunit ribosomal RNA", at positions 1332 to 1703 of the family's 2925-position model. Lineage: Bacteria; Bacillati; Bacillota; Bacilli; Lactobacillales; Enterococcaceae. The record is from RNAcentral.
GUCCACCGAAUGACUAAGGUUUCCUGGGGAAGGCUCGUCCGCCCAGGGUUAGUCGGGACCUAAGCCGAGGCCGACAGGCGUAGGCGAUGGAUAACAGGUUGAUAUUCCUGUACCCGUUGUUUUUGUUUGAGCAAUGGAGGGACGCAGGAGGCUAAGGAAUGCAGACGAUCGGAAAUGUCUGUCCAAGCAGCAAGUCUGAAGAGGAGUUAAAUGCUUCUUUUCUUAAGGACAAGCUGUGAUGGGGAGGGAAAUAAUAGUACCGAAGUUCCUGAUGUCACACUGCCGAGAAAAGCUUCUAGUGAGAAAACAGCGGCCCGUACCGCAAACCGACACAGGUAGUCGAGGAGAGAAUCCUAAGGUGAGCGAGAGAACUCUC